This 425-nucleotide ribosomal RNA is filed under the name uncultured bacterium. Its description in RNAcentral is "partial 16S ribosomal RNA". It matches the Rfam family "Bacterial small subunit ribosomal RNA", at positions 354 to 796 of the family's 1533-position model. The record is from RNAcentral.
GUAGGGAAUCUUGCGCAAUGGGCGAAAGCCUGACGCAGCCAUGCCGCGUGAAUGAUGAAGGUCUUAGGAUUGUAAAAUUCUUUCACCGGGGACGAUAAUGACGGUACCCGGAGAAGAAGCCCCGGCUAACUUCGUGCCAGCAGCCGCGGUAAUACGAAGGGGGCUAGCGUUGCUCGGAAUUACUGGGCGUAAAGGGAGCGUAGGCGGAUAGUUUAGUCAGAGGUGAAAGCCCAGGGCUCAACCUUGGAAUUGCCUUUGAUACUGGUUGUCUUGAGUACGGGAGAGGUGAGUGGAACUCCGAGUGUAGAGGUGAAAUUCGUAGAUAUUCGGAAGAACACCAGUGGCGAAGGCGGCUUACUGGUCCAUUACUGACGCUGAGGUGCGAAAGCGUGGGGAGCAAACAGGAUUAGAAACCCGAGUAGUCC